RNAcentral lists this ribosomal RNA (430 nucleotides) under Bifidobacterium longum. Its description in RNAcentral is "bacterial SSU rRNA". It matches the Rfam family "Bacterial small subunit ribosomal RNA", at positions 1101 to 1533 of the family's 1533-position model. The record is from RNAcentral. Lineage: Bacteria; Bacillati; Actinomycetota; Actinomycetes; Bifidobacteriales; Bifidobacteriaceae.
ACCCUUAUCUUCAGUUACUAACAGGUCAUGCUGAGGACUCUGGAGAGACUGCCGUCGUAAGAUGUGAGGAAGGUGGGGAUGACGUCAAAUCAGCACGGCCCUUACGUCCGGGGCUACACACGUGUUACAAUGGGGGGUACAGAAGGCAGCUAGCGGGUGACCGUAUGCUAAUCCCAAAAGCCUCUCUCAGUUCGGAUCGAAGUCUGCAACCCGACUUCGUGAAGCUGGAUUCGCUAGUAAUCGCGCAUCAGCCACGGCGCGGUGAAUACGUUCCCGGGCCUUGUACACACCGCCCGUCAAGCCAUGGGAGCCGGGGGUACCUGAAGUACGUAACCGCAAGGAUCGUCCUAGGGUAAAACUGGUGACUGGGGCUAAGUCGUAACAAGGUAGCCGUACCGGAAGGUGCGGCUGGAACACCUCCUUUCUGGAG